This 497-nucleotide ribosomal RNA is filed under the name uncultured bacterium. RNAcentral's name for it is "partial 16S ribosomal RNA". It matches the Rfam family "Bacterial small subunit ribosomal RNA", at positions 28 to 507 of the family's 1533-position model. The record is from RNAcentral.
GAUGAACGCUGGCGGCGUGCCUAAUACAUGCAAGUCGAGCGAACAGAUGAGGAGCUUGCUCCUCUGACGUUAGCGGCGGACGGGUGAGUAACACGUGGAUAACCUACCUAUAAGACUGGGAUAACUUCGGGAAACCGGAGCUAAUACCGGAUAAUAUAUUGAACCGCAUGGUUCAAUAGUGAAAGACGGUUUUGCUGUCACUUAUAGAUGGAUCCGCGCCGCAUUAGCUAGUUGGUAAGGUAACGGCUUACCAAGGCAACGAUGCGUAGCCGACCUGAGAGGGUGAUCGGCCACACUGGAACUGAGACACGGUCCAGACUCCUACGGGAGGCAGCAGUAGGGAAUCUUCCGCAAAGGGCGAAAGCCUGACGGAGCAACGCCGCGUGAGUGAUGAAGGUCUUCGGAUCGUAAAACUCUGUUAUUAGGGAAGAACAAAUGUGUAAGUAGCUAUGCACGUCUUGACGGUACCUAAUCAGAAAGCCACGGCUAACUACGUG